This is a long non-coding RNA of Cercocebus atys (sooty mangabey), 858 nucleotides long. RefSeq lists it as uncharacterized. The record is from RefSeq and is a predicted model, not a curated record. The transcript has 3 exons. NCBI's taxonomy places the organism in Eukaryota, Metazoa, Chordata, Mammalia, Primates, Cercopithecidae.
CAAAGCGCCGGGAUUACAGGUGUGAGCCACCAUACCCGGCCCCAAAUUUGUUUAUAUGUGCUGAGCUUCCAUCUUUUGGAUUAGGGUUUGAUCUUCAGGGCUGUGUUUGAGAAUUGUGGGGGUAGGAAAAGAACUAGGAGUUUAAGCAGAUUGGGGAAGGGGCAGAAGAGAUUGGGAAGAUAAAUAUUGUUAGGGAUUCGCUGCUAAGAGUUUCUGUUUCAGGAGAACUUAGUGAGUUUUUUAUCUGAACUACUAAUUACAGAGUGUAUUUUAACUAAAGGUCUGCAGAACAGAAGGAGGCUUAUAAUAAGAAAGCAUGCCGUGGUUCUAUCUUGACUUUGCCUACAUUGGAUUUAACUCCCCAUCUAAGAAAACUUGACAAUAUGUGUUUUUAAAGUUUACAAAGGAGAAGAAGAUUACAACUAAUGUUAAUGUUUCUGUACUGAUGAAAAACAAAUUCAGAUCCAACAAAGCUGAAAGAUGGAACUUGAGGGCUCUCAGAAAUCCCAAUAGGCCUAAGGCUCAGAGAGGGCACAAAAUCCACUCAAGGUCAUGAACACUCCCUUUCCUCCGACUGACUGAUGGCAGCACUGGGAUUAGAUUCAGAUGCCAGGACAAAAGGACAAGGUGGCCAGGAGAAGCAGAAAGGUGUUGAGAGGAGAAGGAGAAUGGGAAAGGGUCAAUAAGAAUACAGUGAAAACAAGCAGCACCAAGGCAGCUGGGCAAGGCUGGACUCACACACUCCCUGAAGGCUCGGGUCCAGGAGGCACUGGUGGUACGAUAAGUUUUCUUCUCCUUUUGUGGAUUUCCAAUGCUAUUGCUAGCCUUUGUUUAACAUAACCUAUUUUUUGCUGCUGU